Non-coding RNA from Caerostris darwini, 117 nucleotides. The record is from the annotation of a GenBank genome assembly. Lineage: Eukaryota; Metazoa; Arthropoda; Arachnida; Araneae; Araneidae.
AACGGCCGUACCAUGCUGAAUAUACCGGUUCUCGUUAGAUCACUGAUCGUUAGUCAAGCAUCAUUGGGCGCGGUCAGUACUUGGGUGGGUGACCACCUGGGAACACUGCGUGCCGUU